RNAcentral lists this transfer RNA (65 nucleotides) under Bankia gouldi. Its description in RNAcentral is "tRNA-Asp". It matches the Rfam family "tRNA". Rfam says of the family: Transfer RNA (tRNA) molecules are approximately 80 nucleotides in length. Their secondary structure includes four short double-helical elements and three loops (D, anti-codon, and T loops). The record is from RNAcentral. Lineage: Eukaryota; Metazoa; Mollusca; Bivalvia; Myida; Teredinidae.
UGAGGGGUAGUUUAAAGAGAAUGUAAGAUUGUCAAUCUUAUGGUGUCAAUAUUAGACUCCCUUAG